GUGGAGAGCCUAACAAUUCCCUACAGGAAAGCCGUGGUAUCAACACAGACGUACGAAUGUUUUCUUUGCAUUCAAACGGACAUCUGAUCUGGAAGAACUUAAGCGGGGGGAGGGCUUUUUACUUAGUUAACCAAAUUAGUUGGAUGUGUUAAGUGAAAUGAAUAUCUGUAUAUUUUUUUUUCUCUCCUUUAUGUCAACUCUGCUGUGAAUGCUGUAUGGUGUGUGUUAUUUUGUUCAACGAUCCUGUAAGUGUGGUAAUGUGAACCGAAGGUGGGGAUUUUUGAUGGGAACAUCCAGUUCAUAGUGUGCUUUCUGUGUGUGUUGUUUUUUUUUUCCCCAGCAGAGCUCACUUGCAAGCUCAGGUGUUCCCUUGCGGGUGGAAGUUUUCCUGUCUGUAAGAUACUCAUAUGAAUGCUGUUUGCUGAAGUUCUGUGUUUGGAUGCUUUUUUACAAGAUUUGUCAAUGUAGGAAAUUCUUAAAUAAAACUGAUUUAAGUAAUACGUGUGUGUGUUUGACAGCCCCCAAGAGCGAAAGAGCUCUUAAAUUUUUAAUUGGUUUAAAGUAUCGUUUAGGAUAAAAAAAGUAAGUUUUUUUAAAAUGUUUUUUUUAGGUUUGCCUGCCUCAUGUAGCAGAAACUUCAAAACUAAGACCCGGCCUUAUCUUCAUAGCUUUUGCGAUAAACAUACCUGAAAUGCAAUUCUGUCAUAUGAAGUGCGCCAUCCCUGCUCAGCAGGCAUCACUAAUUUCCUGGGUCUAAGCAAAAAUCCCCAAUAACCCUUGAGUCUGUAGUAUUGUGUUCUCCGCCUUGCUGAGAAUAGGAUGCUAAAAACCUCAGUUUCAAUGUGACAAUGUGGUUCGACAAAGUAUUGGAAAACAUUUGGCUCCACGUGAGUUAUACAGUAACAGUAUCCUUACUCGAUACAAACCUACAACUUCCAUUGGAUAGGUAAUGGGAGCCGUCAGUUUGGUCCCAUUAAAUUUAUACACUUCUAAAAUCCCCUUUAGCUCCCCUGAUUUUCUUUGCAUUUCAGCUAGAAAUCCUAUUUCCUUUUAAAGGACAUGAGUGUAGGAGGUGAACUCUGAAAACUAUUUGCUGGGUGCUUAUUGUGGCGUUGUUGUUUGAUACUAAAACUGAAGAUGGUUCUUGGUGUAAAACAGAUCUGUGAAUAUUCCAGAGGACAUAUAGUCUUACAUUGCAUAAUCUUUACUUCACCUAAAUCCGAUCCAUUGCCAAAAUCUACCAUCUGAAUUUUGCAUUUUAGCACUUGCAUUAACACCAGCUACUGCUGCUGAGUAACACUUAAUAUGGUUUUCUCGGACCUCCCAAGGCUAAACUGUGUCAUCCCAGGAAGGAUCAUGAGGGUAAGUUUGAUACCUCACUAGCAUGGUUUCAGUAAUUUAUUUCAGCUUGUAUUUAUAAAACCCAAGGGCCACUUCUGAAUAGAAAGGGGGACCCAUGCUGUGACCAUUUUAAUGCUGCUUCAAGCACAAAGGGCUCUAACAUCCCUUCCCUCCAAUCCCUAAGCAUCUUAGAAUUGUUUUCAAACAUGAUUCAUAUCAUUAAUUUUUUUCGUUAGUGUUGAAAGUGAGUUAAUAAACAGAAUUCUCA
Non-coding RNA from Pseudonaja textilis, 1609 nucleotides. NCBI's taxonomy places the organism in Eukaryota, Metazoa, Chordata, Lepidosauria, Squamata, Elapidae. The record is from RefSeq and is a predicted model, not a curated record.